CUUUCUCUGUUCUUUCUCACAUUCAGAAGAAUAUUUUCUUGCCUUCUCUUCUCCUCGCCGGCGGUACCAUCUUGUCUUCUCUUCUCCUCACCGACAGUACCAUCUUGCCAUCUUUUCUCCUCGCUGCCUUCUCUUCUCCUCGCCGGCGGUACCAUCAAAAUUUUCUUUAAUCGGCGACACAAUGAGCUACUUCAUUCAUGUGAAACAAUCAUGAAUCAGAGAAGAGAAGACGAUAAAGAUGGGUUUUUAUAAUUCUACUCCUAUCGAUUUAUAGUUUGUAGUGUUGUCUCGUUGGUGGUGGCGGAUAUCGCAAUGUAGCAGCAGCAAUGAUGUGGUCAUAUUACAUGAUUCAAUGAUGCUGAAGUUUGACGAAUCUCCGAGCAUUGGAUAUGAGCAGCAAUAAUCUAAAAGGCGACUUACCAGAGUGCUUCUCCAAUUUUACAUCUCUGAAACUUUUACAUCUCUCUUCCAAUCAACAUUCUGGAGAUGUAUCUGCUCUCAAGUCCCUGACAUCCCUGAAAUUGUUGAGACUUUCAAACGAUUAUUUUCGAAUCCCAAGCUCACUGGGGCCCUUCUUCAACCUUUCAGAACUCGAGCAUUUUCAAGCGGACAAAAAUACCAUAUAUGUUGAAAUCGAGAUGCAAUCUUAGGUCCAAAGGUUUCAGCUGAAAUAGAUCAAUUUAUCUUGUUGUGGAGAUGCGGGACAAAUUCCUCAAUUUCUCUACCACCAACACGACUUGCAGUAUGUUGAUCUCUAAUGUCAACUUAACAGGGGAAUUCGCAAAUUGGUUGUUGCAAAACAACACAAAUUUACAAAGUUUAAAUCUUGCAACAACUCUCUCUGGGGACCUAUUAUCUUUCCUUCCACUUAUUGGUUUAUCACACUUGGAUAUCUCAAAAAAUUUCUUACAU
Long non-coding RNA from Hibiscus syriacus, 912 nucleotides. RefSeq lists it as uncharacterized. The transcript is spliced from 4 exons. NCBI's taxonomy places the organism in Eukaryota, Viridiplantae, Streptophyta, Magnoliopsida, Malvales, Malvaceae. The record is from RefSeq and is a predicted model, not a curated record.